RNAcentral lists this ribosomal RNA (837 nucleotides) under Epistominella vitrea. RNAcentral's name for it is "SSU rRNA". It matches the Rfam family "Eukaryotic small subunit ribosomal RNA", at positions 1209 to 1734 of the family's 1831-position model. The record is from RNAcentral. Lineage: Eukaryota; Foraminifera; Rotaliida; Pseudoparrellidae.
UUAAUUUCUGCAGCUUCGGCUAAAGUUAUUAUGUUAAAUAUGCUAGUCCUUUCAUGAUUAUGUGAUAGGUGGUGCAUGGCCGUUCUUAAUUCGUGGAAUGAUCUGUCUGCUUAAUUGCAUUUCACUAAGGGCCUAUAAAUUACGUGUGUUGCGGUACUUUGACCCCUCUUUUCUCACGAGAAGAGCGCGUGUCUUAGUUUGCUUAGCUCACACAAUUAGGUCCUGAAAGCAACGAACGUGACCGCAACCUCUUGUUGCCUUUAUACCAAACAUGGAUAUUCUCUUCGGAGGGUUUCAUGAAAAAAGGCUUUUUAAACUAGAGGGACCGCUGUUACUUUCUUAAACCAGAGGAAGGUUGCGGCAAUAACAGGUCUGUGAUGCCCUUAGAUGUUCCGGGCUGCACACGUGCUACAAUGAUUAUUGCAGUGAGCAUCUCAUUUUUUACACACCGCAUACGCGAGUCCAUUUAUUCACUCUCGUGUGCUUUAAAUGUGCAUCUCUGCGAGCGGUAAAGCCUGCUUCGAAAGUAAGUGGGUAAUCAAUUAGAAGUAAUGAUUUCCUUUUUUUCUAGCACACAUAUAUACGGCGUUUAUACCCGGGCUGCCUUGUUGUAGCUUUUGUGCGUAUAGAUGUUUUUUCCGUAUGUGCGAUUGUCAAUUCAUGGUGGGGACAGACCAUUGUUAAUUGUUGGUCUCGGUCUUAACUAGGAAUGCCUUGUACGGGUCUUUGGUUCAACAAACCACCCGGAAUACGUCCCUGCCCUUUGUACACACCGCCCGUCGCUCUUACCGAUGGACUUCUCUGUGAGUUUGAGGGACUGGGAACGCAGGUUUUUUA